RNAcentral lists this ribosomal RNA (497 nucleotides) under uncultured bacterium. RNAcentral's name for it is "partial 16S ribosomal RNA". It matches the Rfam family "Bacterial small subunit ribosomal RNA", at positions 28 to 507 of the family's 1533-position model. The record is from RNAcentral.
GAUGAACGCUGGCGGCGUGCCUAAUACAUGCAAGUCGAGCGAACGGACGAGAAGCUUGCUUCUCUGAUGUUAGCGGCGGACGGGUGAGUAACACGUGGAUAACCUACCUAUAAGACUGGGAUAACUUCGGGAAACCGGAGCUAAUACCGGAUAAUAUUUUGAACCGCAUGGUUCAAAAGUGAAAUACGGUCUUGCUGUCACUUAUAGAUGGAUCCGCGCUGCAUUAGCUAGUUGGUAAGGUAACGGCUUACCAAGGCAACGAUGCAUAGCCGACCUGAGAGGGUGAUCGGCCACACUGGAACUGAGACACGGUCCAGACUCCUACGGGAGGCAGCAGUAGGGAAUCUUCCGCAAUGGGCGGAAGCCUGACGGAGCAACGCCGCGUGAGUGAUGAAGGUCUUCGGAUCGUAAAACUCUGUUAUUAGGGAAGAACAUAUGUGUAAGUAACUGUGCACAUCUUGACGGUACCUAAUCAGAAAGCCACGGCUAACUACGUG